UUCUAUUAUGGAGAGUUUGAUCCUGGCUCAGGACGAACGCUGGCGGCAUGCCUAAUACAUGCAAGUCGAGCGGAAU
RNAcentral lists this ribosomal RNA (76 nucleotides) under Sporosarcina sp. ANT_H38. RNAcentral describes it as "partial 16S ribosomal RNA". It matches the Rfam family "Bacterial small subunit ribosomal RNA", at positions 1 to 72 of the family's 1533-position model. The record is from RNAcentral. Lineage: Bacteria; Bacillati; Bacillota; Bacilli; Caryophanales; Caryophanaceae.